Molecule: long non-coding RNA, 653 nt
Organism: Varanus komodoensis (Komodo dragon)
Lineage: Eukaryota; Metazoa; Chordata; Lepidosauria; Squamata; Varanidae
Exons: 4
Source: RefSeq, a predicted model, not a curated record
UAUCUGUGUGCACAAAAACCUGUCUGUCCCAAUGGCUGGGCCUUUCAAGACAACGCAGUCGCUUUCAAGAUGCAGAAAUCCUUCAACAUGGACCUGUCCCUCAGGACCUCGUGGAUCUGACAUUGUGACUUGGCAGCACUGAAUCACAGGGCAAGAAUCUUUCCAAGAGGUGGCAUGCACUGUGGACAAGGUCACCCUUUUAUUCCUGAUGGGUUAAUCCAAGGUUUUCCUCUCAAAACCCCACACAAAAAUGGUUGAAAAACAUGAAAGAGGCUCCAGAGAACUAUGAAAAACACAGAAGCUUUGCAAGUGAGAGAUCAUGCAUGCGCAGAUCCAGGCCAUUUACAAGAAUUUAAAACCAACAUCAAUUCAAAUUUGGACCAAAAACAAGCAUAUUAAAUAAAAGUAAUCUGGGAAGGCCUAUUGAAGGAUGUCUUUAACUCCCUUUUGAAGAUGGCAGUCUGGAAUAUAUGACAGACUUCUCCCAGCAAGGCAUGCCAGAGUUGAGGGGUGGCCACUGGGAAAGCCCUUGGGGUAGCGGACGUUAAUUUUGCAGAAGCAAACUUCAGAAGACUAUUUCCAGAAGACCAUAGCAGGCGAGGUGGAAUGUAUGGGCAAAGGUGCCCCCGGCGGUAUUUUGAACCUGAGUCAUG